This 66-nucleotide transfer RNA is filed under the name Sabethes belisarioi. RNAcentral describes it as "tRNA-Ser". The record is from RNAcentral. Lineage: Eukaryota; Metazoa; Arthropoda; Insecta; Diptera; Culicidae. RNAcentral also lists the same sequence under 1 other name.
AAUUAAUAAGCUUUUAUAGUAUUUGUCUUGAAAACUUAAGAAAGAAGUAAAAUCUUCUAUUAAUUU